UAUUGGACAAUGGGCGCAAGCCUGAUCCAGCCAUGCCGCGUGUGUGAUGAAGGCCUUAGGGUUGUAAAGCACUUUCACCGGAGAAGAUAAUGACGGUAUCCGGAGAAGAAGCCCCGGCUAACUUCGUGCCAGCAGCCGCGGUAAUACGAAGGGGGCUAGCGUUGUUCGGAAUUACUGGGCGUAAAGCGCACGUGGGCGGAUAUUUAAGUCAGGGGUGAAAUCCCAGAGCUCAACUCUGGAACUGCCUUUGAUACUGGGUAUCUUGAGUAUGGAAGAGGUAAGUGGAAUUGCGAGUGUAGAGGUGAAAUUCGUAGAUAUUCGCAGGAACACCAGUGGCGAAGGCGGCUUACUGGUCCAUAACUGACGCUGAGGUGCGAAAGCGUGGGGAGCAAACAG
This 396-nucleotide ribosomal RNA is filed under the name uncultured bacterium. Its description in RNAcentral is "bacterial SSU rRNA". It matches the Rfam family "Bacterial small subunit ribosomal RNA", at positions 362 to 775 of the family's 1533-position model. The record is from RNAcentral.